UACGAAGGGGGCUAGCGUUGCUCGGAAUCACUGGGCGUAAAGCGCACGUAGGCGGCUUUUUAAGUCAGGGGUGAAAUCCUGGAGCUCAACUCCAGAACUGCCUUUGAUACUGAGAAGCUUGAGUCCGGGAGAGGUGAGUGGAACUGCGAGUGUAGAGGUGAAAUUCGUAGAUAUUCGCAAGAACACCAGUGGCGAAGGCGACAUCCUGGACCGGCAUUGACGCUGAACAGCGAAAGCCAGGGGAGCAAACGGG
Molecule: ribosomal RNA, 253 nt
Filed under: uncultured bacterium
Lineage: Bacteria
Description: partial 16S ribosomal RNA
Rfam family: Bacterial small subunit ribosomal RNA
Source: RNAcentral